GAUGAACGCUGGCGGCGUGCCUAAUACAUGCAAGUCGAGCGAACGGACGAGAAGCUUGCUUCUCUGUUGUUAGCGGCGGACGGGUGAGUAACACGUGUAUAACCUACCUAUAAGACUGGGAUAACUUCGGGAAACCGGAGCUAAUACCGGAUAAUAUUUUGAACCGCAUGGUUCAAAAGUGAAAGACGGUCUUGCUGUCACUUAUAGAUGGAUCCGCGCUGCAUUAGCUAGUUGGUAAGGUAACGGCUUACCAAGGCAACGAUGCAUAGCCGACCUGAGAGGGUGAUCGGCCACACUGGAACUGAGACACGGUCCAGACUCCUACGGGAGGCAGCAGUAGGGAAUCUUCCGCAAUGGGCGAAAGCCUGACGGAGCAACGCCGCGUGAGUGAUGAAGGUCUUCGGAUCGUAAAACUCUGUUAUUAGGGAAGAACAUAUGUGUAAGUAACUGUGCACAUCUUGACGGUACCUAAUCAGAAAGCCACGGCUAACUACGUG
RNAcentral lists this ribosomal RNA (497 nucleotides) under uncultured bacterium. Its description in RNAcentral is "partial 16S ribosomal RNA". It matches the Rfam family "Bacterial small subunit ribosomal RNA", at positions 28 to 507 of the family's 1533-position model. The record is from RNAcentral.